RNAcentral lists this long non-coding RNA (773 nucleotides) under Anas zonorhyncha (Eastern spot-billed duck). RNAcentral describes it as "lncRNA (ENSAZOG00000011479.1)". Lineage: Eukaryota; Metazoa; Chordata; Aves; Anseriformes; Anatidae. The record is from RNAcentral.
GGGGCGGGGGCUUUAUACCCUCGGGGGGCGUGGCCUAAGGGAGGGGGCGUGGCUUAAUGGUCCAGGGGGCGUGGCCUUGCGGGAUGCCUCGCGGUUAGGGGGCACAGGGGGGCGUGGCCUCCGGGAAGGGGGCGUGGCCUCCGGGAAAGGGGCGUGGCCUUCGUGGCGCGCCUUCCCGUUAUAUUAAGCCCCGCCCAGUGGGCGUGGCCUGGAGGGGUCAACCUCGGUUAUGCCCGCAGGGUCCUAAUGCCCCCCCUCCCCCUCCCCAACUUCCCCAGUCCCCCCCAGUCCUCCCAGUUAGAGGCGGGCGCUCAGCACUGGUGGCACCUUUAUUGGUCCGUCCGCGGGGCCCGCUGGCCCAGGUGGCCCCACGGUGGCCACGGUCACGUCCACGGUGGUUCUGGUGGCCCCGGAUGGCCCCGCGGUGGCCACAACCGCAUCCUGCUCGCGUCCUUGGUGGCCACAAGUGGCCCCGUGGUGGCCACGCUGGCGUCCUUGGUGGCCCCGUGGUGGCCCCGCUCAUGUCCAUGGUGGCCCAGAUUGUCCCCAUGGUGGCCCCGGGGCCGUCCCCAUGGUGGCCCAAAUUGUCCCCAUGGUGGCCCAAAUUGUCCCCAUGGUGGCCCAGACUGGCCCCAUGGUGGCCCCGGGGCUGUCCCCACGGUGGCCACCCCGCUGGUCUCGGUGGCCCUCCCGGCCCCGUUGGUGGCCCCGUCCCGGUUCCGUUGGUUUUUGACGCACUCGACCCAAAGUUGGUUUGGCAGAAGGGGGGGGGG